UUGAUUGAUUUUGUUUUUUUCUCAGACUGCAAGAAUGUAUCAAGAGUUUGGACCCUCGGCGGGCAGGCUCCCCCUUCUUUUCUAUUCUCCCCUGAUACUCAUGGUCCUACCCCUGACAGGGGACAGGGCCACACACAUCGGAAAGAGAAGAAGAGGAAUCGCAGGGUCAGUGAGAUUCACACCUCACAGAAACACCCACGUCCCGCCGAAGCAACAGGUCGGUAUGCAAGGGUGGGAGUCCGCGCUAUAAGCGCGGGUACUCGGUAAUGAUCCUUCCGCAGGUUCACCUACGGAAA
RNAcentral lists this unclassified non-coding RNA (296 nucleotides) under uncultured fungus. Its description in RNAcentral is "sequence contains ITS1". Lineage: Eukaryota; Fungi. The record is from RNAcentral.